RNAcentral lists this ribosomal RNA (639 nucleotides) under uncultured Streptomyces sp. RNAcentral's name for it is "bacterial SSU rRNA". It matches the Rfam family "Bacterial small subunit ribosomal RNA", at positions 223 to 872 of the family's 1533-position model. The record is from RNAcentral. Lineage: Bacteria; Bacillati; Actinomycetota; Actinomycetes; Kitasatosporales; Streptomycetaceae.
GGAUGAGCCCGCGGCCUAUCAGCUUGUUGGUGAGGUAACGGCUCACCAAGGCGACGACGGGUAGCCGGCCUGAGAGGGCGACCGGCCACACUGGGACUGAGACGCGGCCCAGACUCCUACGGGAGGCAGCAGUGGGGAAUAUUGCACAAUGGGCGAAAGCCUGAUGCAGCGACGCCGCGUGAGGGAUGACGGCCUUCGGGUUGUAAACCUCUUUCAGCAGGGAAGAAGCGAAAGUGACGGUACCUGCAGAAGAAGCGCCGGCUAACUACGUGCCAGCAGCCGCGGUAAUACGUAGGGCGCAAGCGUUGUCCGGAAUUAUUGGGCGUAAAGAGCUCGUAGGCGGCUUGUCACGUCGGUUGUGAAAGCCCGGGGCUUAACCCCGGGUCUGCAGUCGAUACGGGCAGGCUAGAGUUCGGUAGGGGAGAUCGGAAUUCCUGGUGUAGCGGUGAAAUGCGCAGAUAUCAGGAAGAACACCGGUGGCGAAGGCGGAUCUCUGGGCCGAUACUGACGCUGAGGAGCGAAAGCGUGGGGAGCGAACAGGAUUAGAUACCCUGGUAGUCCACGCCGUAAACGGUGGGCACUAGGUGUGGGCAACAUUCCACGUUGUCCGUGCCGCAGCUAACGCAUUAAGUGCCCCGC